AAAUGUGACGUCAUUUUUUUGUCAUUUUUUACAAUUUCUAAUAUGACGUCACUUGGCGUUGAGGUUUUAACUUAUUCGGAUGUGUUGCAUUUUGUCGGGUUAUGUAAUGUAUUUCGGUUGUUUCCUGUAAUUAGUUAAUACUUCAGUUUUAUCAUGUACAUCUUUUGUAUAGUCAUUUUAUAAAAUUUACUGUUUGCAAAAGUAUAAAUUAUUCUAAAUAAUAGGGAUGUUCUGGUACCUAACAGAAAACCCUGGCCGUUUUUGGCACAACUUUUUUGAACUUUUGGUCCUCGAUGUUG
This 299-nucleotide long non-coding RNA is filed under the name Mytilus galloprovincialis (Mediterranean mussel). Lineage: Eukaryota; Metazoa; Mollusca; Bivalvia; Mytilida; Mytilidae. The record is from RNAcentral.